RNAcentral lists this small RNA (348 nucleotides) under Pelobates cultripes (western spadefoot toad). Lineage: Eukaryota; Metazoa; Chordata; Amphibia; Anura; Pelobatidae. The record is from RNAcentral.
GGGGGUGACUAGUGACAGAGAGAGGGAGGGGGUGACUAGUGACAGAGUGAGGGAGGGAAGGGGUGACUAGUGACAGAGUGAGGGAGGGAAGGGGUGACUAGUGACAGAGUGAGGGAGGUGGUGACUAGUGACAGUCACCACCUCCCUCACUCUGUCACUGUGUCACCCCCUCCCUCUGUCACUAGUCACCCACUCCCUCCCUCCCUCCCUCUGUCACUGGUCACCCACUCCCUCCCUCCCUCUGUCACCAGUCAUCCCCUCACUCUGUCACUAGUAACCCCUUCCUUCCCUCACUCUGCCACUAGUCACCCCCUCACUCUGUCACUAGUCACCCCCUCACUCUAGUGA